UCUCUGCUCAGGACGAACGCUGGCGGCGUGCCUAAUACAUGCAAGUCGAGCGGACAGAUGGGAGCUUGCUCCCUGAAGUCAGCGGCGGACGGGUGAGUAACACGUGGGCAACCUGCCUGUAAGACUGGGAUAACUCCGGGAAACCGGGGCUAAUACCGGAUAAUUCUUUCCCUCACAUGAGGGAAAGCUGAAAGAUGGUUUCGGCUAUCACUUACAGAUGGGCCCGCGGCGCAUUAGCUAGUUGGUGAGGUAACGGCUCACCAAGGCAACGAUGCGUAGCCGACCUGAGAGGGUGAUCGGCCACACUGGGACUGAGACACGGCCCAGACUCCUACGGGAGGCAGCAGUAGGGAAUCUUCCGCAAUGGACGAAAGUCUGACGGAGCAACGCCGCGUGAGUGAUGAAGGUUUUCGGAUCGUAAAACUCUGUUGUUAGGGAAGAACAAGUACCGGAGUAACUGCCGGUACCUUGACGGUACCUAACCAGAAAGCCACGGCUAACUACGUGCCAGCAGCCGCGGUAAUACGUAGGUGGCAAGCGUUGUCCGGAAUUAUUGGGCGUAAAGCGCGCGCAGGCGGUUCCUUAAGUCUGAUGUGAAAGCCCCCGGCUCAACCGGGGAGGGUCAUUGGAAACUGGGGAACUUGAGUGCAGAAGAGAAGAGUGGAAUUCCACGUGUAGCGGUGAAAUGCGUAGAGAUGUGGAGGAACACCAGUGGCGAAGGCGACUCUUUGGUCUGUAACUGACGCUUGAGGCG
Molecule: ribosomal RNA, 754 nt
Filed under: Cytobacillus firmus
Lineage: Bacteria; Bacillati; Bacillota; Bacilli; Caryophanales; Bacillaceae
Description: bacterial SSU rRNA
Rfam family: Bacterial small subunit ribosomal RNA
Source: RNAcentral